AGGACUAACGCUGGCGGCGUGCCUAACACAUGCAAGUCGAACGAGGUAGCAAUACCUAGUGGCAGACGGGUGAGUAACGCGUAGAUAAUGUGCCCUCUUGCGGGGGAUACCGUUUCGAAAGGAACGUUAAUACCGCAUAAUACGGCCUAGGGGAUUCCUUAAGCCGUCAAACUUCCGGGGCGGGAGGAGCAGUCUGCGUUCUAUCAGCUAGUUGGUGAGGUAAUGGCUCACCAAGGCUACGACGGAUAACUGGUCUGAGAGGAUGAUCAGUCACACUGGAACUGAGACACGGUCCAGACUCCUACGGGAGGCAGCAGUGAGGAAUAUUGCGCAAUGGGGGAAACCCUGACGCAGCGACGCCGCGUGGAGGAAGAAGGUUUUCGGAUUGUAAACUCCUGUCAGUGGGGAAGAGAAUGGACGGUACCACUGAGGAAGCUUCGGCUAACUACGUGCCAGCAGCCGC
This 463-nucleotide ribosomal RNA is filed under the name uncultured bacterium. Its description in RNAcentral is "SSU rRNA". It matches the Rfam family "Bacterial small subunit ribosomal RNA", at positions 26 to 518 of the family's 1533-position model. The record is from RNAcentral.